AGAACUUUGCAGUAUCUUCUACCCGCCGCAGACAAGAGAGAUCGUAGCCACGAUGGUGAAGGGGCAUCAAGGCGAGUGAGUCAGACUGUAUGUGAGGGGAACGAUUCUCGGGUACAAGAGAUCGAAAUCCAACCAGUACCCGAAUACAUCGUU
Long non-coding RNA from Telopea speciosissima, 153 nucleotides. RefSeq lists it as uncharacterized. NCBI's taxonomy places the organism in Eukaryota, Viridiplantae, Streptophyta, Magnoliopsida, Proteales, Proteaceae. The record is from RefSeq and is a predicted model, not a curated record. The transcript has 3 exons.